Molecule: non-coding RNA, 84 nt
Organism: Bursaphelenchus xylophilus (pine wood nematode)
Lineage: Eukaryota; Metazoa; Nematoda; Chromadorea; Rhabditida; Aphelenchoididae
Source: Rfam
CCAACCAUAGCUCAGUUGGUAGAGCGGAGGACUGUAGUUGAAGCGGUGAUCCUUAGGUCGCUGGUUCGAAUCCGGCUGGUUGGA